RNAcentral lists this ribosomal RNA (466 nucleotides) under uncultured bacterium. RNAcentral's name for it is "partial 16S ribosomal RNA". It matches the Rfam family "Bacterial small subunit ribosomal RNA", at positions 29 to 507 of the family's 1533-position model. The record is from RNAcentral.
AUGAACGCUGGCGGCGUGCUUAACACAUGCAAGUCGAACGGAAAGGCUCCUGCUUGCAGGGGUACUCGAGUGGCGAACGGGUGAGUAACACGUGGGUGAUCUGCCCUGCACUUCGGGAUAAGCCUGGGAAACUGGGUCUAAUACCGGAUAGGACCACAUUUUGGAUGGUGUGGUGGAAAGUUUUUCGGUGUGGGAUGAGCUCGCGGCCUAUCAGCUUGUUGGUGGGGUAAUGGCCUACCAAGGCGUCGACGGGUAGCCGGCCUGAGAGGGUGUACGGACAGACUGGGAUUGAGAGAGGGGCCAGACUCCGACGUGAGGCAGCAGUGGGGAAAAUUGGACAAUGGGAGAAAGCGUGAUGCAGCGACGCCGCGGGGGUGAUGAGGGCCUUUGUGGGGUAAGCAAAGCACGAGAGGGACGAAGCGUUGUUGUGACGGUACCUGGAGAAGAAGCACCGGCUAACUACGUG